This is an RNA transcript of Solanum tuberosum (potato), 4316 nucleotides long. It is a transcript of the gene named replication protein A 70 kDa DNA-binding subunit B-like, with no coding region annotated. The record is from RefSeq and is a predicted model, not a curated record. The transcript has 23 exons. Lineage: Eukaryota; Viridiplantae; Streptophyta; Magnoliopsida; Solanales; Solanaceae.
UUCACUUUCUCUACAAGUUUCUCAAAUUUCUAACCCUAUUUUCUCUCCCUCGCGACUCCUCUUUCGACUUGUGAACUCUUCAAUGGCGAAUCGACCUCUUCUUUACUCUUUUCUGUUUCUCUACAUCUCUCUGAAGCUUUGCUGUAAGAAUUCUGUUUGUCUCGGACGACCUGUCGCAGGUUCUUCUUCAUGGUUUAAGCGAAAUUUCAAUGGCGACUCCAUCUCUUCUUUACUAUUUGCUGUUUGUCUACAACCUUUAAAUCUCUCUGAAGCUUUGCUGAAGAUUUCUGUUUGUCUCCGACGACCUGCGCAGGUUUGUUGAAGAUUUCUGCUUGUGUCGGACGACCUGCGCAGGUACUUCUUCAUCCUUUAAGCGAAAUUUCAAUGGCGAAUCCAUCUGUUCUUUACUGUUUUGUGUUUCUCUACAGCCUUUAAAUCUGUUUCUGAAGCUUUGCUGAAGAUUUCUGUUUCUGUCGGACUAAUGAAUUUUGAUUAUUGUGAUAUUGCAACUCAUCAAUUAAAAAACUUCCAGAAGCUCAGAUAAAUAAGUAUAGAUUAAUUAGUUUGAUUAACGCAUUAACCUUGUAAAAGAAAUUCUUAACUUUGGUUGAAGCAUCAUGGAAAAACAGUAAUGUACCUGAGCAAGUGUUCCAAUUCAUAAAGAUGGUGGAUAGCUAUUUUGUGUUCCUACUUGUGCGUUGAUAGUUGAACACCCUGCAGUCGGAAGUGACAUACUAUGUUAAGGAUAUUUGGAUCAAUUUGGUGCAUGCAAAACGUAUAACUGCUUCAUGAGUAACUUCGACACAUAUAAGAUACUAUUUCUUAUGAUGCAAAUACGCAUGAUUGUGUAUCAUGUCAUCUGAGGCUCCAGUGUCUACAAUCCAUUUCAAGCAGGAAUAGGAUUACCUGCUAGAUUUGCACUACUUUGAGAAUCUAAAAGCUCCUUAUGUCCUUGCAAUAUAACACGCAUCUUUUGAAUUUGUUCAGGUCUUCAUGAAACAAGGGAUAAUAAUAUGCUAUAUUCUUUUCAAUAAUCAAAAUCUAACGAUGACAUUUUAAUAGCCAUCAUUAUUAGACGAAUUGUUCAUUGAGCAGAAGAAUGUUGUUAUGAUAUAUCAUAUAAUAGUUUAAACUGCAUGGUCUGCUUGAUAGUGUAUUUCAAUAGUUUAAAACGCAGGGGAGCUGACACCUUCUCAACUCUGUGCUUUUUGGUAGAUAAAGAAAGUAUGUUAAUUUAUGUAUCUAAAUUGUAGGAUAAUUCUGCUGAUAUAAAGGAAUCAUCAUUUGUCAUUUAAUAUGGUUUUUUCCAUUUUAAAAUUUUUGAGCAAGGCAUCCUGUAAGGGGCAGCAGUCUUCACUCAAAAGGAUACAAACACUCAGUUAUAAGUGAGAUAAACUCCCUAAAGGUUUCCCUUGAUGACCAGUUCAAGAUAAAGGAUUUAGGAAAACUACAUUACUUCUUGGGGCUAGAAAUACUCUACUAUUUUUUUUGACUGCUUCAAAUCUGCUUCUGGAAAUGUUGCCAGCUCAAAAAGAGACAUUACUAUUACAAAAGCGCACAAGAGGCCUCGAGUCAAGAAGACGUCUUCUACAAGUUCCUCUCAUGAUAAGAGAGCCUUAUGUUACGUCAACAAAAGGAUCCUGAUGAACCUAUAGUGAAGGUAAAAACACGUGUAAUGAGACCUGUAGUUGCCGAUCCCUUUAGGAAAGGUGUUAAACAAGGUCCUAAGCACAUGGCAAAUCUGAAGUGUCUACUUCCACGAAAGAUUUCCCAAAAUCGCCUCAGGACAAUUUUAGAAAAUUCUUAGGUGCAUAGGAGAAGGCCGUGACAGCUCUGCCGCCCUUGAAUGUGGUCAUCAUACAAUUGGCUGCAAAAGCUACUUUAUUCAAUUCAAAUGUCAAGAAAGACGUGUCAAUAGCACAGGAUGAGAUUUUUCGCCUGCUGCAGUGUGUCAUCAAAUUCAAAGGCUUACUAUCACUGCAAUUACUUCAGUACUUAGGACAUGGAAGGUAGCACUUAACACCUGCUGCAAAUUUUGCCAACCAGCAAACACCAUCUCCACACCUCUGCUCUCUCUUCCUCUUCUCUUGUCGUCGGCCUUGCACUUUGGUGGAGUUCACGCUUGCGUCCUAUUUCCGGACGAAAAUUCUGCUUAUGCAACUUUAGCUAGAGUGAUGGUAGAUUUGUGAUUAUAGUCUGUAUUGGUGAUGCUUUGUCUUACUGUAGAUGUCGGAGCAGUAAAUUAUGCUCAAACCUAGGCCUUUCUACAACUACUGCAACGCCGGAACCCAAAAGUUCAAGUCUGAAACGUCAAUGAUGACGAUGUGUUUACAGAUGAAACAUUUGAUUUAUCUAUCAAAUCUUUUCGGUCACUUGGUAUCUGAAAUAGGACGCCAGAGUUGGACUAGGAAGCAACUGCCUAGCCAUGUGACAUCUUCGACUUUACCCGUUGGAGUCAAUUGUGGAGUGUAAAUUUCAAAAUUCAGACUCAAAAUUUAACUACUCAUACAUCAUCUCAAUUUAGAUGACACUAAAAUACAAAUCGUCUCAGUUGGCUCUCAUUAAUUUAUCAUGUGAACUCUUCACUAUUCACUUUCUCCAGAAAAAUUCAAUUGUCUCCAAAUGAACAUAUAAAAUUUGGAGCUCAAGGGAAAAACUGUGAGAGGGCUGCAAUGAAGCUCCUUGAUAGUGCUGCGCGAGACACAAAUUGCUAGACAGUCUGUUCAAAAUAAACAUUUCAACUGGAAUCUUGAGGAGUAAAACAUUGUUGCUCCAAUCGGAAAGUUAGAUUUCACCUCUACCAUCAACAAUAUAAUCCACAACAACUUUACGGCAGUCCCAGACCAUAGUAGAGAACAAAUUGACAUUGUGAAGCCUCUGUUGCUGACUUGAUGCCUGAGUUCUUAAAAAAAAAAACAGAGAAGCCUCAUCUUAUUCACAGAAAUGUGAAUAAUAAUGGCAAUGGUGCACAUGAGAUCAGACAACAACUUGCAAUUGGAGCUCUUAUCAAACUCUGCAAGUCCUUUUGCCAAGAUUAAUGACUUUUGACGACCAACAAAUGGCAUUGGGUUGCAAGUACGUACACAUUUUCUCCUCUUCUAAGAUACUACUGUUUGGUUAAAUAUAUUUCGUACAAACAUGGUACUAAGAUUGAACAUUGACCGAAUAGAAUUAGCAACACGAGAUUGGAUUUGCAAAGUUCAAAUUGUGGAAAUCGGGCGCCCGCGAGAAAGUCUUAACAAGAAAUGUAGAUUCCAAACUUUCAUUUUGGAAGAUGAAGAGAUAUACUGGCAAUCGUUGUUCAUUGUGGUCCUCAAAAAUAGGCAGGUCGCACUCAUCAUAAGUGUCGAGAAAUAACCAUUUGUGACAAUCAGAAAAAUCAGUUUCUCCUCACUCUAUGGGACGAUUCCGAAGAAAUCAAAGGAAAUGAAAUUGAAGAUAAAAUGGAAACAGCAACAGAUUUAAUUGUAAUCCUCGGAAGGAGUAUAGGAAUCUCUACUUAUCAGGGGUUGUCACUGCAAAGUAGGUUCAAUUCCACAAUACGUUUGGAUCCUAAUUACCCACAGGCAAUAGAACUCAUCAACUGGGCAAAAGCAAACAAAACAAUGUUGUUACGUCGUACGUCAAACAAAACCUCAACAAGCUCAUCUGCCCCUCCCAUGGUAGUAACUCCUGCCGGACAACAAGUUAUCUCUAUUGCACAAAUGUCAUCAGCAGCUUCUAUGGGACUCUUUUAUGUUGAGGCAGAAAUGGCCAUAUCAAAUGAAUUCCAAGAGUUUUGUGUGCUUGAAUGCUCAGGAUGCAAACAGAAGAAGCGCACAAAGGAUAGAAAGGAUUUUCAAUGUCCAAAAUGCAAUCGGAAAUCAGCAUUAGUGCCUCGCUGUGUCUUUCAAAUUGAUCUUACUCAUGGUACUGCUACAACCACAUCAUCUAUAUCUGGUGAAUUGGGAGAAAAAUUACUCUCUAUGACAGCGGAAGACAUAUUUGACAUAACUUUGCGCUAAGGAACUCCCUCGCACCAUUUUGUCACUUUUGCUUAUGCUAGGGACAAUAUAAUGACUAACUCUCCCUGUGCUCUGGUUUUUUGCAUCAGGAAGGUUACCUAUGGACAAGCAAACUGCAGUGUCCUCUAAAUAUGCUAGACAAUGACAUGCUAAUCUUAUAUACCAAAACUGCAACAUGUACUAUAUUAUUUUGGUUAUAUUACAUUAGUUAGUAUAUGCAAAUCGUUCAAGUCGACAUCGUACUUAUGUCUAUUGUACAUAUUCUGAAUAUUUCUAAUAGUACAUAAUAUAAUAGAUCAUAUUAUCUAUCUU